GUCACUGUUGUUAGCAUGAAGCCAUCAUACAUGUACCCAAUUAUUGGUCCACGUUGAAUAUGCCUCUUCCUGCCCGCGGUGCCCAGUGUUUUCAUCUUUCCCAGCAUCAUUGUCUUGGAAUUCUGCCGACAUUUCUGAGCUAUUUCCACUGUGUCUUUCAAGUCACACAAUGCAGCGACGAGGAGAGGGGAAACCGGCUGUGAAUUUUGAAGAUUGGAAAAUUGGGUCUGUGCCAGAAGGUAUGAGCCUGCUUCCCCCUCUGCUCAUCUGUGGGCUCCGAUCCCUGGAGGACCGGAAAGACAGGGCUGGAAAACAAAACAAAACCACGAGAGGAAUCUUGUGGGCAGAAGAAGCAGAGGAACACGCUCACUUUUAGAGUAUGAGAUGGGAAUUCUCUCCGACAGCAGAUCCCCGAACAUCUACGACACGUGGAAUGGGAGAGGAGAGAGUGAGUUAGUCCUGGAGAAUCCUGGAGAAGCUCACCAACAAGAUCUUAGCUUUUAUUUGUUUGUUUGUUUUCCUGCUCUGCUAAGAGAGAACUUACCACCUCUGCCGCAGACAACUAGCGUGUCCUAGCCUCCAAGUGUAAAGACUGGACCAGCCAGGACCCUCUGCUGGGCCAUUGUAAAUGGAGCAGAGAGCAGGAGGUGAGCAGCUCAGCUCAAAGUUCUAAAGGCAACGGCUAAGGAACAGUGAGCGAUGUCUGUAUCUCGGGUACUCUUCUGGUUCUGAGGAAAGGCAGAAGUAUCAGAAGGCAGUUCACCCAGUGUUUUCAGUCCAGAUCUCAUUAACUACCACCUUUGAGCUGGAGCAAUCACGACGAGCCUUGAAGAGUGAGAGGAGCUGGCCAGCAAGUUUUUAAAUAAAUGUAUUGCUGUAAAACUUCUUUGUAACACAGCUUCAUGCAAUUCCCAGGCUACCAAGUGAAGAGCAGCCACCUCCACCGUGCACCUUGGCAUGAGACUCUGCCUCCUCACGUUCCCUAGAGCAAGGGACCCUUUGGAUCAUGAGCCCAAACUCUCCGUCCUCCCUAAAUUGAUUUGUCUCAUGACCAGCAGUGAGAUGCUCUGGUUUUCACCGCUUCUUCUGACUCGAGGGAUUUAAUGUUUUUCCGAAAGCAGUGCAGGAGUUGUUACUGUGGACAGACACACGGACGAAAGUGGAGCUGUGCAAAGCGUGUGUGACUGUGGUCUCUGAUGGUGAACUCUAGAGUGUUGCUCCGCUGUGUGGGGGAAAAGAGAACAGGGGAAUAACAGUUGCCGCCCCCCGCAGUUGUAAAGGCUGCUGCAAACCCCGCUCAAAUUGUUCAUCCCAUCCCAGGGCAGUUUGGAAUGACAGCGAAAGCAGAACUGAUGCUUGAUUUUCCACGUGGGGAAGGAAGAAAGGAAAACGGGGCUGGCAGUUCGGAUUUGAAUCCUGGUCCUCCACAGGUGGGCAGUGAGUCGAUCACUCAGCUGCCACGCUGGCAUCAGUUUCUCAAUGAACUGAAGGGACUCUAAGGCUGUGCUGGACUACAGCAUCUUUAUGUCCAAGACCCCCGUUAAAGCAGAAUGUGGACAUGAUCUACCACAGAAAUUAUCCAUAUUGUCUAUCGCAUGUGUUUUGGAGAAACGUGGAAGACUUUGGAACUUUGGAUUAGAAAAGCAAUUGCAUGCUGCAAGCAGAUCUUAAAAGACCAUUCUAGUAGAAGCCUGGGAGACAAUAGUACU
Non-coding RNA from Peromyscus maniculatus bairdii (prairie deer mouse), 1709 nucleotides. NCBI's taxonomy places the organism in Eukaryota, Metazoa, Chordata, Mammalia, Rodentia, Cricetidae. The record is from RefSeq and is a predicted model, not a curated record.